CCGGGGACGACCCCGGGCGAGAGUUUCCCCGGCGGGACGGCCCGC
Molecule: non-coding RNA, 45 nt
Filed under: Guyparkeria sp. XI15
Lineage: Bacteria; Pseudomonadati; Pseudomonadota; Gammaproteobacteria; Chromatiales; Thioalkalibacteraceae
Also listed under: 1 other name
Description: Halothiobacillus sp. XI15 Guanidine-II riboswitch aptamer (mini-ykkC)
Rfam family: Guanidine-II riboswitch aptamer (mini-ykkC)
About the family: Simpler in structure and has fewer highly conserved nucleotide positions than the ykkC-yxkD leader. Despite this each of its two stem-loop structures directly bind free guanidine.
Source: Rfam by way of RNAcentral